Long non-coding RNA from Eleginops maclovinus (Patagonian blennie), 592 nucleotides. RefSeq lists it as uncharacterized. Lineage: Eukaryota; Metazoa; Chordata; Actinopteri; Perciformes; Eleginopidae. The record is from RefSeq and is a predicted model, not a curated record. The transcript has 3 exons.
CUCCUGCAGAUGAUGUCAUAUAUGCUGGUCACGUGACGAGAUACGACAGGGGCAGCCAUUUUGGCAGUCAUCGCGGCAGUAAAUUGACAGGCACUGGCAGACUGUCAAGGAUGGUGGAUAACUGCUGUGCACCAGGUUGCACAAAUAGGCGUGGGAAAAAGAAAGGUGUAUCGUAUUAUCGCAUUCCUAAAGACGCGGAGAGGAGGGAGAAGUGGAUUGGAGCGAUUAAAAGAGCCAGGAGCCUUCAGAAAAAGACUGAAAGAUGGGACCCCCCGGCCGUUGGCUUUCGCUUAUGCAGUGAUCACUUCAUAUCAGGGAGAAAGAGUGAUAAUCCGUUGAGUCCGGAUUUUAUCCCCUCAAUUUUCGAUUACCUUCCAUCUCCAGAGAAGAGGAGACAUAAAACGAGACUGGAGGUUUUUAACAGAAGGCAGAAGGCUAAACUGCACAAAGUAGAGCAGGCAAAGAUAUCUGCAGAAGCCAUCCGUCAAAGGACAUCAACUGAUGCAGCCCCAGAAGACCAUAUCACAGAGCCUUUGAAGGAGCCCCCCAUCACAGAUCCGUUGGAAGACUCAGCCGAUGAUCCUGUCCAGCC